Non-coding RNA from Ornithorhynchus anatinus (platypus), 114 nucleotides. RefSeq annotates it as microRNA mir-135b-1. The transcript has a single exon. Lineage: Eukaryota; Metazoa; Chordata; Mammalia; Monotremata; Ornithorhynchidae. The record is from RefSeq and is marked provisional.
CGGAUCCUCCCUUGGCUCUCUGCUGUGGCCUAUGGCUUUUUAUUCCUAUGUGAUUGCUGCUUUGAACUCAUGUAGGGCUGAAAGCCAUGGGCUACAGAGAGGGGAGAGACACCG